GCGGAAGUGGUGAAAUUGGUAUACACGCUAUCUUGAGGGGGUAGUGCUCGUAAGGGCAUGCGGGUUCAAGUCCCGCCUUCCGCACUA
Molecule: transfer RNA, 87 nt
Filed under: Ignavibacteriota bacterium
Lineage: Bacteria; Pseudomonadati; Ignavibacteriota
Description: Ignavibacteriae bacterium tRNA-Leu
Rfam family: tRNA
About the family: Transfer RNA (tRNA) molecules are approximately 80 nucleotides in length. Their secondary structure includes four short double-helical elements and three loops (D, anti-codon, and T loops).
Source: RNAcentral